This is a small nucleolar RNA of Salvia splendens (bonfire salvia), 91 nucleotides long. RefSeq annotates it as small nucleolar RNA Z221/R21b. NCBI's taxonomy places the organism in Eukaryota, Viridiplantae, Streptophyta, Magnoliopsida, Lamiales, Lamiaceae. The transcript has a single exon. The record is from RefSeq and is a predicted model, not a curated record.
GGGCGGUGAUGAGAAUGUAGAUAAUGUCAUGCACCACUCCGACGAUCUUCGUGUGACGACAACAUCUCAUACCCAAACAAUUUCUGAGCCC